AUUGCAUCAAGGAUGAUUCAGCUGCCAUAACUUCAGCAUGAAAUCUCAUGAGGUUGGGAAGAAAGCAUGGCUGAUCUCCUUGGAUAUCUCUAAAAGUGUCACUUUUUAAAGCCUAGGGGGAAAAAAAGCUGCAGCGAGCAGCAGAUGUGUGAAUAUCCCUUGGCAGGAAUAGCUGACAGCUGGCCAUCCCCAUGGCCCUGCUCAUGCUGCUCUCCCCAGCUCCUUUAAGGGCACAUUUCUCCCUUUCAGAGAGAACUUCCCUUAUGAGAGCACUGCAGGAUGCAAUAUCACAUAGGAGGACCCAAGUCACAGGUGAUGUGCUCUGGAAGCUGCUGGUAUUCAGGUCUAAGCAGAGAAAUGGGGUGAGAUGGAUUCAGAGCACACACCUGAGCUCCCUGGGGCAGCAGUGUGCUCUGGUGGCCCCUGGGCUCCUGCAGGUCUGCCUGUCCCAUUGCACCAGAUGUGAUGUGAGAUAUCUCUGGGCAACCUGCUACCCAUUAACACCAGGGAGGGCAGAGCAUCUUGAACUCAAAUUCCUGAACCACACAGCUUUGAUGCACAAUAUGGGCUCAGUUUAUGUUUAUUCCAAAGGGUGGAAAAGGACUGGGCUACCUGCUGCUUUCCCAGCUUCCUCCCUGUGGAGCAGCAACAAGCAGGCAGCAGAGCCCAGGGGCUCCUGCGGUUUGAGCGCUCCUCCUCCUGUGCAAUGGCCCAUGCCUUGUGACCUACAUUUGCCAAAGGGAAUGGGUGAUAUUUGCUGGCCUGAUUCCUUCAUUUUUAAGGCAUGGUUGAGCUCAGAGCCCUGGGAGUCAACUUCUCCACUAUGCCUUAAACAGGACACAAAAAGGAAGUGGGGAAUUGCUUCAAGUAGUGAUGGUCACCACCAACACUGUACCUCUAACCCAGGCUGAAACUGCAACAGGAGCAAACCCCCCAGGGCAGUGUGCUGUAGCAUUGUGCUUAGACCCUGAAACAGACCAGAAUGAAGGAGCAAGUGAAAGCAUGUUUUUAAGCUCAAAACUGCUUGUUUACUCUGAAAUAGAAGCCCAAAGUGAGCUCUGCCUUUGCAGCUCACCUCUGUGCACCCCAGUGCAGAGUCCUGCCCAGCCCUGUUGCUCUCUGAGGAUCACAGGGCAAACCAAACCCCAGCAUGGGACGAGGCGCCCAUCUGACCUGGGUCAGCCCCUGGCUAGCAGGAUAUGAGGGAGACAGCCUCCUCAAGUCCCCAUCACAGCAGCUCCACGCAGCCUUGGGCUCUUUUGGUGAAAGCAGUUGGCACCCAAAGUGGUUUCUCUUGCAGGCAGCUCUGCAACAGGCUGUAAUUGUAUUUUGUCAAGUGGUUUCAGAAAAGCUAUCCACGUUUAUUAGCCAUGUGGAUUAGAGAAAUGAUGUUCUUGAUUCUAACUGCUGGCUUAGCCUUGCCUUCAUCAAAGAACAGAAUAACUUUACGCAUUCUUCUCUUCCCACGUCAUGAAGAAUUUUCUCCUGCGCGCUUUAUUUACCUCUGCUGGCAGUACAUGUGGCUCUCAGACAAACCCGUGUUGAGCCCGGAACACCCGCCUGGCUCCAGGUCACAGCCUCAGGUACAACUGUCCCCAAUGCUGCUGUUGUCCUGCAGCUUUCCAGAAGGGCAAAGGAGCUGUGACAGAGAAUUCUGUGAAAUCACCUCAAGCUAAUUAUGAAAGCUCAUUAGAGAAAGGAAGGAGGUCUGUCUGUCACAUGCCAUCUCUCUUUGUCACCCUCCCACUGCCUUUUAGUCUUGAUCUAGAUGCAGGAUGUUCCUCUUUGCUUUGAUUAUAGCCAACUACUUCAUUAUUCAUUCUGCCAGCCCAUCCAGCAGGGACCUGUAGGGACAAAGCUCUUCAGACCACAUGCAGACAGCAUCGUUCAUGAUUUAGUCGGAGAUUCUUUGUCAUUAUUACCACACAGGAACAGGGGGGCCCUCGCUGCUCUGAUUUGCAUCUGCUGGCUGUGCCUGUCCCCAGUGAUGCUGAUGGGUGACAUCAGUCACCUGUGGAGACCCACAAAGGCAUUGGUCGCUGUUAUUGCUGCUGGUGUGCAACUGCUGGCUGAGGCAGGCUGCUCCUUUCUCCAGCACCCCCUUCCUCCUGGUCUCACGGGGUCUGCCUUUAAUUCAGCUCCUGCCUUCAUUAACUGGAGACUGGGGUAUUGAUUCAGCAGCCACUAAGACGAAGGAGCUGAGCUCAGGUCGUUGUUAUUUAUGGAGAUGUAUGUCACUGCAGAACUUCCAAAAAUGAGGAUGUGCAUGAGCUCAUUGGGACAAAUGUUUCCUUGGGAGAGAAGGAAAACUACCCCUGCCACACCUGGAUCCCAUCCCUGCAGCUCCCAACUCCACCUCCCUCCUCCCACCUGAGUUCCCAUGUAGUGCUGCAGCAGUCACAGAGCAUCACAGGUUGGGUGAGGGGGAGGGGAAAUGCCCUUCUUUCUGACACCCUGUGUGGUACAGAGGAUGAUGCUCAGCUUUCUCCACCCACCUCCACCCGCAGAGGCUGUGGCACAGCUGGAAGCUGCUGGAUGAUGGCUCCUGUGCCACAACUGCCCUCUGUGCCCAUCUCUCCUGCUGGGUUUGCAACUCACUGUAACUCUUCCCAUCAUUUCAGUUACGCAGCUCAAAGUAUUGGGUCCAGGCUGCUACAAGAAACCAGUGCAGAAGAGGUGUGGGAAGGGAAAUUUGACAAUGAGCAAAUUCUGCCAAAAAUAAUAAAAACAAAAAACUCAGGCAUACUCAAGGGCUGAAUCUAAUGGAGAUACUGCUACCAGUAACAUUACCCUUGAUCAGAUGUGCCUUAUGAUCCAUCUAAACCAGCUUCUGAUGGACCACACUUCCAGAGACAGCAACCAGAGUGCAGAAUGCCAACGUGCCCAGGGUGCCCUGCAGCCACCUGGGAGCUGAGUGUCCCUUGGAGCUGCCCCACCAUCAGACAGGAGGUGUUCCCUUCAGGUGCUGAAAGGUUUUGGGAGUCAACUGAAUCGUCUUUCCACUAAUUAAGCUCUGAAAACAUAGGCUAGACAAUUUGUUCUAGCUUUCCUAGGGAAAGCUAAAAGGUUUCUCAUAUAUCUUCUAUUUGGAGGAAAAUAAGACAAGACUAUUAGGGCUGGCUGCAACACAGAAUUCCCAUU
Long non-coding RNA from Tympanuchus pallidicinctus (lesser prairie-chicken), 3141 nucleotides. RefSeq lists it as uncharacterized. The transcript is spliced from 2 exons. The record is from RefSeq and is a predicted model, not a curated record. NCBI's taxonomy places the organism in Eukaryota, Metazoa, Chordata, Aves, Galliformes, Phasianidae.